UACGAAGGGGCGGAGCGUUAUUCGGAAUCACUGGGCGGUAAAGACGUGCGUAGGCUGUUCUGCAAGUCAGAAGUGAAAGCCCAAGGCUCAACCUUGGAAGCGCUUUUGAAACUGCAGGACUAGAAUUUGGGAGAGGAUAGCGGAACUGUCAGUGUAGCAGUGAAAUGCGUAGAUAUUGACAGGAACACCAGUGGCGCAAGCGGCUAUCUGGACCAACAUUGACGCUGAGGCACG
This 234-nucleotide ribosomal RNA is filed under the name uncultured bacterium. RNAcentral describes it as "partial 16S ribosomal RNA". It matches the Rfam family "Bacterial small subunit ribosomal RNA", at positions 524 to 755 of the family's 1533-position model. The record is from RNAcentral.